CUUACUUUAUCCACUGACGCCAAUGCAAACUAGUAUAUUCCAAUGUAUCGAAGACAUAAACGAAUCUAAAACGAUGCGAAGAAAGACUUUUAUGGAUCAAACAAUAAGAUAAAUUUCUUCUACCAAAUUAGAAUCGACAGCUUCGCGAGACAUAGUCCAAUCUGACGUUUACAGUUCGCUAUGUAACUUCGGUUAUUUGUGUCGUUUGGGAUGCGGCCAAAUGCAGGUUUGACACAGAGAAAGCAAUUUAAUUGCGAGUUCUUCCGCGGAAUCCAUCUUGCAUCAUGAAUAAAGUCCAACGUUUAUUUUUAACCCAUUACGCGAACUUAACGGUAUGGAACCUGACGUCCGCUCGAAGUAGUCCUCCUACAGAAUAAUCUUUCUUUUUUUCUUUCCUUUUUUUCCCUUGUUAUUCUUUUUAUCUAUAAGGUACGAUGUCACAAACUUUUUCUAUUUACGAUGCUUCGCCAAUCGAUAUAAAAAGUCCUAGCAAAAUUAUUGUUUCUCUAACUAGCACCAGCAAUGCUUCUCUGUUAUCUUUACCCUGGAUUCUUAUUGAUAAAGAAUGAAAAAGAAUGUUUCGCGAGCUCUAUAUUGAUAAUAUGAAGUAGAGAAAAGGGAAAAGUUAAAGAAAAAAAGUGAAAUAAAAAAGUUCGCGCUUGUAAAUAAAAUGCAUUAUAUAAUGAAUUAUU
Molecule: long non-coding RNA, 692 nt
Organism: Vespula pensylvanica (western yellowjacket)
Lineage: Eukaryota; Metazoa; Arthropoda; Insecta; Hymenoptera; Vespidae
Exons: 3
Source: RefSeq, a predicted model, not a curated record